GACAGAGGUGCCAAGCGUUAGGCGGAAUCACUGGGCUUAAAGCGUGUGUAGGCGGAUUUGUAAGUACCUUGUGAAAUCCCACGGCUCAACCGUGGAACUGCUCGGUAUACUGCUUAUCUUGAGCCACUUAGGGGCUACCGGAACAAAUGGUGGAGCGGUGAAAUGCGUAGAUAUCAUUUGGAACGCCAAUGGUGAAAACAGGUAGCUGGGAGUGUGCUGACGCUGAGACACGAAAGCCAGGGGAGCAAACAGG
RNAcentral lists this ribosomal RNA (253 nucleotides) under uncultured bacterium. RNAcentral describes it as "partial 16S ribosomal RNA". It matches the Rfam family "Bacterial small subunit ribosomal RNA", at positions 524 to 776 of the family's 1533-position model. The record is from RNAcentral.